AAUAGUUGGGCCAUCUAGCAUGGGCCCAUAUCUAAAAGAGAUGUCCAAAUUUUUUUGUGGGCCUUAAGCCCAGAUCCAAAGUCUGUUGUUUGGACUUUACUAGAUCAUGUCUUACAUUUUAGGCCUAAAACAGACAAUAUUCAAAGUUGAAAUAUUUGUCUUUAUUGAUUCCACUAGAUCUGAGCAUACUACAUGUUAUCGUCCUAAGAGGUCUCCAGGAAGAUGAAAUAGUUGUCGAUCCAAUAAAAUUUGAGCAUGCUAUAUUUAUCAUCUUCCCAAAGGGUCUCCAAAAAAAUUAAAUAUUUGUUUUAAUCGAUUUCACUAGAUCUGAGCAUGCUACGUGUCGUCGUCCUAAGAGGUCUCCAGGAAGAUGAAAUAUUUGUCGAUCAAAUAAAAUCUGAGCAUGCUAUGUGUAUCAUCAUCCCAAAGGGUCUCCAAAAAAAAUUAAAUAUUUGUUUUUAUCGAUUUCACUAGAUCUGAAUAUACUGCGUAUUCUUCCCAAGAAAUUCCAGGAAGAUGAGAUAUUUGCUUAUCAAUUCCACUAGAUCUGAGCAUGCUACGUGUCAUCGUCCUAAGAGGUCUCCGGAAAGAUGAAAUAUUUGUCGAUCCAAUAAAAUCUGAGCAUGCUAUGUGUAUCAUCAUCCCAAAGGGUCUUCAAAAAAAUAAAAUAUUUGUUUUUAUCGAUUCCACUAGAUCUGAACAUACUACGUAUUCCUCCCAAGAAAUUCCAGGAAGAUGAGAUAUUUGCUUAUCGAUUUUACUAGCUCUGAGCAUGCUACUCGUCAUCGUCCUAAAAGGUUUCCGGAAAGAUGAAAUAUUUGUCGAUCCCAUAAAAUCUGAGCAUGCUAUGUGCGUCAUCAUCCAAAAGGGUCUCAAGAAAAAUGAAAUAUUUGUCUAUAUCAAUUCCACUAGAUCUGAAUAUACUAUGUAUUCCUCCCAAGAAAUCUCCAAGACGAUGAGAUAUUUGCUUAUCGAUUUCACUAAGUCUGAGCAUGCUACGUGUCAUCAGUGUGAUCACCAUUACAUAUGGAAGAGAGAGUAAUAAAAUCAAACAAAUUUGGUGAUGGAGGUGACUAAUGAAGCUGUUUAACUUACCUAAUUUGUCUUAAUUAAUAUAGUAAUUCAUAUUAUUUUCAGCAAAAGAACAAUAAAAAUACAAGGUCUUUAACUAAUUCUGUUCUAUGUUAACUCAAAGCAGUUAAUUAGUAGAUAAAAAAAGAAAACAUCCAUUAGGUUUGGCAUAUAAAAAUAUGAUUUUUUAAUACUCCCUCCGUCCCAUUUUAUCCGUCUCAAAUUUCCUAAUCUGGUGUCCCAUUUUACUUGUCUUUUUUUACUUAUCAUGACAAGACAAUUUUUUUCCCC
This 1362-nucleotide long non-coding RNA is filed under the name Capsicum annuum. RNAcentral's name for it is "long non-coding RNA (CANN_LNC007573)". The record is from RNAcentral. Lineage: Eukaryota; Viridiplantae; Streptophyta; Magnoliopsida; Solanales; Solanaceae.